UAGCCACCAUGUCUUUCACCUUGUCAAAACUAAUCUUCUGUCAUGGAGUCUUCGUUCCCAAAAGAAUUCGUAGUCGUUAUAAACCAAAUUUGCUUCCAGAUAACGUCCCUGAGUUGGCAUCCUUGAGGGCUGUUCUGCCGAGGCUUUUGUUUUUCAGGGUCAUUCCCCGUCUUCCUUAUGCCAAGGCUCACUCGGACCAGUGCGUCAGCAGGAUUCGCUUACAUUUCCCAAGAAGAUCGCCACUUUGCCUAACAGAGUAUGGUGGCAGGUUGCUGAUAUGUUUAGCCAGGGUCCUUUGGUCAGUAAGGCGCUUGUCUUCCCCUAAGGAUGCAUUCCUGUCAACAAGGUGGCUCAUUGGCAUUCUGCUGUGA
This 371-nucleotide long non-coding RNA is filed under the name Struthio camelus australis. RNAcentral's name for it is "lncRNA (ENSSCUG00000015567.1)". Lineage: Eukaryota; Metazoa; Chordata; Aves; Struthioniformes; Struthionidae. The record is from RNAcentral.